Molecule: ribosomal RNA, 582 nt
Filed under: Saccharomyces cerevisiae (brewer's yeast)
Lineage: Eukaryota; Fungi; Ascomycota; Saccharomycetes; Saccharomycetales; Saccharomycetaceae
Description: eukaryotic LSU rRNA
Rfam family: Eukaryotic large subunit ribosomal RNA
Source: RNAcentral
UUUCCCACGGGAUGCAUUGUACGGCGAGUGAAGCGGCAAAAGCUCAAAUUUGAAAUCUGGUACCUUCGGUGCCCGAGUUGUAAUUUGGAGAGGGCAACUUUGGGGCCGUUCCUUGUCUAUGUUCCUUGGAACAGGACGUCAUAGAGGGUGAGAAUCCCGUGUGGCGAGGAGUGCGGUUCUUUGUAAAGUGCCUUCGAAGAGUCGAGUUGUUUGGGAAUGCAGCUCUAAGUGGGUGGUAAAUUCCAUCUAAAGCUAAAUAUUGGCGAGAGACCGAUAGCGAACAAGUACAGUGAUGGAAAGAUGAAAAGAACUUUGAAAAGAGAGUGAAAAAGUACGUGAAAUUGUUGAAAGGGAAGGGCAUUUGAUCAGACAUGGUGUUUUGUGCCCUCUGCUCCUUGUGGGUAGGGGAAUCUCGCAUUUCACUGGGCCAGCAUCAGUUUUGGUGGCAGGAUAAAUCCAUAGGAAUGUAGCUUGCCUCGGUAAGUAUUAUAGCCUGUGGGAAUACUGCCAGCUGGGACUGAGGACUGCGACGUAAGUCAAGGAUGCUGGCAUAAUGGUUAUAUGCCGCCCGUCUUGAAACAC